AUUUCUAUUGAGAGGUAUAUCCUUUGCAAAGGGUUGUGGAGUUUACGGAACUGUUGCUCAUCGGCGUCUCUUUGUGGCAUGUCCUUGCUCCCUUCUUUUCCCAGCCAUCUGGAAGACACUCUGCAACGAGGACCAUGAAAUGGGACCCGUGUGAGACAGUUUCUGGGCGUUUCUGGGAACACAGUUGGGCACCAAGAUCAGCGUUUCCUGGCAGUUUCGUGGGGGCAGAACGCACUGUUGUGGGAUGACAGGCCAUGAGUGAGCCGGGAUAUGGUCUUCGUCGGGUGGACCACGGGAGCCCAAACCAAGCCAAACUGCACAAGCACCUCAAAGCCACAGCCGCUGUCAUGGUCACUGACGUUCCAUUGGCCAAAGCAAGCCACAGGACCAAGGCCAACAUCACAGCGCAGGUGUGGUGGGAAGAGGUGUGUGUGUGUGUGUGAAGCUAAGCAAUGAUCCAAGCUUCAAUGACCUCACUGUACCUCCUGAAAUUGAAGACCUGGGCAACACAGAUGAAAAAGAAAAUGACAAAGACGAGGCACAUGGUCACCGAAUAGCAUCCGAUGUGCAAUCGACCCCAGGGUCUUGCCUGUGUGCUAUUAAAGAACCGCCCAUCUUCUUGAAGCCACAGUUGUGCUGGACAGUGAAUCAGGGGCCCUGCUCUCUGCUUCUCCCUGCUGUCAGGACACAGCCCGAUGGGAAAGCAGCUCAGCUCAGUCAACAAAAAGGCACGAGUACUUACAUACGGGACAGAGGAGGGUGGUGCAGACCCUGCCCGACACCAGUGAAGGGGCGAGUGGACUCCCUCGGUGAGACUGGUGAGGAUGUGGUCAUGAUGCUAUCCAGCACCAGGAAGACCCCUUCGCUCCCCAGGGAAUCCCCACUCUGAGACCGGGGGCUGCCACUCCCAUCAUGUCCUGGGUUCCUUCCUCUUCCGAGGGCAUCCAGAGGACAGGCACCUUCUGCUGGGGAUGUUUCCUAAAUCCUCAACAUCUGGAAGGAGCUGCCACAAAGGCCCCCUUUGUGUAGCCAGGGAAAUGGGCAAUAAAAUAGCGCCAGACCCCGCAAAGCUGGGCAAGGAGGCGCACGGUCCAGGGCCCUGGGAGUGGACACGGUGAGGUCGCGGAGAGGUGUGUCCGGAGGCACAGGUCAAUAAAUCACAGCAUCGCUUAUCUAGUGCUUCCUGUGUGCCGGAGGCUGCUCAAGGGCUGUGUCCACAGUGUCUCGUUGACAGGAAGGUUGGCAAGGUGGUCACAGCAAAGGGGGACGGUGCCUCUGAAAUCACAGAGAUGUGGGGACUGCAGAGGACAAAGCAUGGGCAGAAGAUAGAGGUAUCAAAGUAACGUCUGCACAGAGUCGCCUGGCUGCCUCUUUCUAUGUUAACCACCAACCUUCAGCACCCCGAAAGAACCAUCUGGAACCCUCUAUGGUAAAAUGGGUCAUCUCAAGUCCUGCAGAGAGUGAUAUGUAGAGGUCCCCAGUGAAGUCACACCUUUGUCCCUGUGUCCUACAGUGAGGUUUACCAGUUGUCAGGGACCCUCCCACCCCACCCCCGUAGGCAGAGUGUUCCGCGAAGCUUCACUUGCAUUUCAGAAAAGUCCCUACUAGGAAAGGGAGAGAUGGGAGUAAGAACAUGGUGGGUUUGGGGGAAGAGAAGAAAGGAUCCCGGGGGUAAAGACACUCCAGGGAGCAGAAGGACCAACACUACCCCCGGUUUUCAUUGUCAUCCUUGGAGAGAGAGAAAAAAAAUGGCUACCUCUGUGACAUAAGAUCAGUAGUCCACAGGCAGACUUCUAUGGCAACGAGAGCUUUGGAAAGUAAAAGUGCAACAGCAGAAAAGAAAAAGAAAAAACCAGUAGUGGAGCUGGAACGUGGGGUCAAGCAGGCCACGGACAGAAAGAGGUAAAUGAAGAGGAAUGAUGAGAAAGGGGGUCCAACUGGGAGGUCUGAGAUCCUACAGAUAAGGAUCCCCAAAGAUAAGCUGAAAAAAGGGCGAGGGGAAGAAAUUGUGAAACAUAAUACAAGGAAAGGAACCUGGGUUUCCAGGUUACACGGGCCGUGCUGGCCCAGUCCAGUCAACGAAGCAGCGUCCCACCAGCACCUGUGCCCUGAGAUCUCCUCAUGCCGCCUUCCUGUCCUCAGCGGGCAGGUACCCCACAUCAUUCUGACUCACCCUCUGUCUCCUUUUUCUGCUUAGAAGGGCCUUUGUGGUUAUCUUGGUCCAAGGGGGAAAUCCAGGGUCCUCUUAUUUUGAGGUCAGCCGGUGAACAACCUGAAUUCCUCGGCCCUCUCCAUCCCUCUCUGCCAGGCACCAAGGUGUCCAGGUGCUGGGGAUUCGGUGGCAGACAUCUUCAUCUUCUUCAGGAAGCCCUUGUUCUGCAGGUUGCAACUUUGCAUAAAAUCUGGGUCAUCUCCUUGAGGAUCAAAGGGAGAGUGGAUGUUAGGAAGGAUCGCGGAGUAGACAGGAGGAGGGAGGGCAGGGCCCCUGGAGCCACCUAGAGCCAUGCUCCCAUCCCAGGCUGAGCCUCUGUAUCACCACCAGGGAAAGAAUCCUGGCUCGGGCCAAGCCACCUUGGGGGAGCUUCUGUUCCAAGAAGUCAAAUGAGGCCUAAGGAAACUCUCACUUUUUAAGGUACGAAGUUAACAAUAUUUGAACUCAAAACGGGAAGAGAUACCAGGCAAGCACAGAGUUGGGAAACAACCACCAACCUCACCUGAGAUAUCUGUGGAUUUAAAGAACUCUGAACUUAAAGAAAUCACCUUGGGGCGCAUCUUCAGAGAGAGGGAAAGAAGAGGCACAUCACGACGGCCUGUCUCUAGAAUCUCAUGGUGCGUUGGACUCAUUAAGCUUUGGAAAUCUUUUACUUAAUAAGAAAUACGGUUUUUCAUUUUAAGAUGACAGACACGGUUCGGAGCGUCUGAAGAAACCCAUCCGAAGGUACAAGGAAAAUGCCUGGCGACGCGACCCCUGGCUGUGUUGUGGGGUGACAGGGUCAGCCUGGGAGAGUCCAAGGGACCUUCCCCGUGAGUGUGCCCAAGGCCCUUCCUGAGCUACAAAGUUCAUGGCCAGAAUCCCAUUUUCCAUCCCUCAUAAGACCCUGCUCUUAGGAACAGAGCUUGGAAGGAAGUGCGCAGGACAUUCCUGGGGCCGCAUCUGCUCCCCGAAGCCCCGCCGCCCCGCCCUGGGGAACACAGCUGAGAUCCUUAUCGCCCCCAGCUCUGGCACACUGAGCGUGUGAUACACCUGUCUCCACCAUCAGGCAAAUGAGUGGGUUCACAGGCAGAGGCCUGCCCUGCCAAACAAUGCUCCCCUUUGUCCCCGCCCAGAGCUCAGGAGCCGCAAGGAAGCCACAUCCGUCAGCACCUGUCAGGGCCCUUGAAGCACACAAUGCCUGCGGUGACCCCCACCCCGAGCCGAGCCCCAGGCUUCCCGCAGGCUGCUCUAACUGACACGCAACGUGUCAGUCACCUUCUGAAAGCCAGGGGUGGGGCCGUGGAAGGGGGGCACUGGGCCUGCCUCCCAGAAGCCAACCAGAGCCAGAGACGGUGCUGUGAAACCCUGACACAUCCUUUCUUAAACCCAGCCCCAAAGAGCACAGCACGAAGAAAAAUCAUCUCCCUCAUCGCUAGAGAUGUAGAACAUUUUUUCAUCUAUUUAUUGACUGAUGGUAUAUCCUCUUCUGAGAAGUGGCUGUUCAGUUCCUUGGCCCAUUUAUUGAUUGUGUUCUUUGGGUGUUUUGUUAUUGUUGUUGUUUUUGGAGUUAAGAUUUUUGAGUUCUUUAUAUAUCCUAGAGAUGAGUGCUCUAUCUGAGGUGCAUGUGGUAAAAAUGUGCUCCCAAGAUACAGGCUCUCUAUUCACCUCACUGAUUGUUUCUUUUGCUGAGAAGAAGCUUUUUUGUUUGAAUCCAUCCCAUUUAUUGAUUCUUGAUUUUAAUUUUUGUGCUAGAGGAGUCAGAAUGGCAGCUAUUAAGAAUGUGAACAACAAUAAGUGUUGGCGAAGAUAUUGGGACACUCAUACACUGCUGGUGGGACUGCAAAUUAGUGCAGCCAAUGUGGAAAGCGGUAUGGAGAUUCCUUGGAAAACUGGGAAUGGAACCACCACUUGAUCCAGUUAUCCCACUCCUCAGUCAAUACCCAAAGACACAAACAACAUACUACAGGGACACAGCCACAUCAAUGUUUAUUGCAGCACAAUUCACAAUAGCUAAACUGUGCAGCCAACCUAGAUGCCCAUCAGUAUAUGAAUGAUAAAGAAAAUGUUACACACACACACACACACACACAAUGGAAUACUAUUCAGAAUUAAAAGAGAAUAAAAUCAUGGCAUUUGCAGGUAAAUGGAUGGAGCUGGAGAAUAUAAUGCUAAGUGAUGUAAGCCAGUCCCCCCAAAACCAAAUGCUGAAUGUUUUCUCAAUAAAAGGAGGCUGAUUCAUAGUGGGUACGGAGGGGAGCGUGGGAGGAAUAGAUGAACUCUA
This is a long non-coding RNA of Marmota monax (woodchuck), 4475 nucleotides long. RefSeq lists it as uncharacterized. The transcript is spliced from 3 exons. The record is from RefSeq and is a predicted model, not a curated record. Lineage: Eukaryota; Metazoa; Chordata; Mammalia; Rodentia; Sciuridae.